This is a non-coding RNA of Candidatus Moranbacteria bacterium CG2_30_41_165, 109 nucleotides long. NCBI's taxonomy places the organism in Bacteria, Candidatus Moraniibacteriota. The record is from Rfam.
CUCGGUGCUUCUAGCGUUGUGGACACACCUGAUCCCAUACCGAACUCAGCAGUUAAGCACUUCAGCACCGAUGGUAGCCUUCAGUGGCAAGAGUAGGACAGUGCCGAGA